This 29-nucleotide non-coding RNA is filed under the name Mus musculus (house mouse). Lineage: Eukaryota; Metazoa; Chordata; Mammalia; Rodentia; Muridae. The record is from RNAcentral.
UCUUUGAUGUGUUUUCUGGACUCCAUGCC